RNAcentral lists this transfer RNA (73 nucleotides) under Mus musculus (house mouse). RNAcentral describes it as "tRNA-Ser". The record is from RNAcentral. Lineage: Eukaryota; Metazoa; Chordata; Mammalia; Rodentia; Muridae.
GGAGAGAUGGCUCAGUGGUUAAGAUCACUGACUGCUCUUCCAGAGGUCCUGAGUUCAAUUCCCAGCAACCACA